GACGAACGCUGGCGGCGUGCUUAACACAUGCAAGUCGAACGGUGAAGCGCCUUCCUUUUUGGUUGGUGUGGAUGAGUGGCGAACGGGUGGGUAACACGUGAGUAACCUGCCCCCUUCUUCUGGAUAACCGCAUGAAAGUGUGGCUAAUACGGGAUAUUCUGUGUCUGUCGCAUGAUGGGUCUGUGAAAGAUAUUGUUUCGGUGGGGGAUGGGCUCGCGGCCUAUCAGCUUGUUGGUGGGGUGAUGGCCUACCAAGGCGGUGACGGGUAGCCGGCCUGAGAGGGUGGACGGUCACACUGGGACUGAGACACGGAGCAGACUCCUACAGGAGGCAGCAGUGGGGAAUAUUGCACAAUGGGCGCAAGCCUGAAGCAGCGACGCCGCGUGAGAGAUGGAGGCCGUCGGGUUGUGAACCUCUUUCGCCAGUGAAGCGGGCCUGCCUCGUUUGUGGGUGGGUUGACGGUAGCUGGAUAAGAAGCGCCGGCUAACUACGUG
RNAcentral lists this ribosomal RNA (494 nucleotides) under uncultured bacterium. RNAcentral's name for it is "partial 16S ribosomal RNA". It matches the Rfam family "Bacterial small subunit ribosomal RNA", at positions 28 to 507 of the family's 1533-position model. The record is from RNAcentral.